AUAAUCUUUACAAUGGGCAGUCGUAGGUAUAUACCUAAUGUUCCGGCCUUUUAUAACUUAGCCCAAAGAUGAUUAAAAUUCGCUCAGUUUGAACCUAAUUGUGACUUCAAAAGCCCCUACGUUGCUUUAUGUCCGUAGGUACCUCACGUCACAGCAAACGGUGCGUGACGUACAAAGCGGAUAGCCACGUCUGAUGAAGCCAUAAUAGCGAUCAAUCCUAUUAAGACGCCAUCGCUUACCUAACUUUGUCAAGAAUAUCGAUACGCGGACAAUGGUUAACGCACUGCCACACAAGGAAAAGAAAACACCUUACCAAAUAAAGCAUCUGCAAAUUUUUGAAAUGUCUUGUACAAAAAUGAUAGUGUCUGGCAGAUACAGAGUGAUGGAUUUCUUAUUGGCUAUCAUGACAAUAACCAUGAUCAAUGACAAGACACAGGAAAACUGUACCUCAACAUGAGCUUCAAGCUCAAAGAAUUUAGAAGAGGUUUGAUCAAAGGUAAAGUUGGUACAAGUAAUAUAAAUAAGGUAUAUAGAUAGAGGACCCUAAAAUAAUAGAGGCUUCAAACAGAUAAUAUAUACUGCCAUACAAAAGAUAUUUUUCUUGUUUCCGCAGCAAUACGAUAAGAUUGUGUAAGAUUUGUACAAACAUAAAUACAUUACGAUUUAUCUAUAAAAUGAUAUACACGUGAUUGAUCAUAUUUGUCGAGCGCAGGAAGU
This is a long non-coding RNA of Helicoverpa zea (corn earworm), 717 nucleotides long. RefSeq lists it as uncharacterized. The transcript is spliced from 3 exons. The record is from RefSeq and is a predicted model, not a curated record. Lineage: Eukaryota; Metazoa; Arthropoda; Insecta; Lepidoptera; Noctuidae.